Molecule: ribosomal RNA, 123 nt
Filed under: uncultured bacterium
Lineage: Bacteria
Description: partial 16S ribosomal RNA
Rfam family: Bacterial small subunit ribosomal RNA
Source: RNAcentral
CCUUGUACACACCGCCCGUCACACCAUGGGAGUGGGUUGCAAAAGAAGUAGGUAGCUUAACCUUCGGGAGGGCGCUUACCACUUUGUGAUUCAUGACUGGGGUGAAGUCGUAACAAGGUACCC